ACCAGACAAAAUAGCACAAUGCUGUUAUUUAAUAUGCCUUAACUGUUCUUUGAGCUCUUUGUUUAGUUUGUUAGUUACAUCUUUUCUGUUCCUUUCCAGUUUUAGAAACGCACCUGUGAAUGCUGUGCCUCUCUGCUGCAUCUCAGAUAAUGGUCAGUGAUACUGAAAGAAAUACAUUCAGGAGAAAGAAAGCAUGGACUGCUGAGAGAGAAUUCAGAGUUUAA
Molecule: long non-coding RNA, 224 nt
Filed under: Calidris pugnax (ruff)
Lineage: Eukaryota; Metazoa; Chordata; Aves; Charadriiformes; Scolopacidae
Description: lncRNA (ENSCPUG00000005272.1)
Source: RNAcentral